UCCGUGGCUCCUGGGGAAGAUCGUGGUUUCUGGGCUUUCCUGAGGGCUGUGACCAACAGUUCCCCCAAAUUCUCCGCGUGGGAGGGGAAAGGGUGGGUUCUGGCUCACUUCUCAGCAACCUGAAAUCCGGAGGGAGAUCCAGAAUAGAAGGGUGUCCUUGGUGUCCCCAAGCAAGGUAAACUGGAGAUACUGUGGCGCCCCAGGAGAGAAGUAGCCUGGAGAAGUGGAGGACCAGUGCAUGGCUGGGGUCUGGUUUGGCUCUGGACCAAUCUGAACCCAAAGGUAGAGAGAGACUGGGCUCUCUGAACACCAGGCUGAAGGCUGUUAAACUGACAGAUUCAUCCCAAGUCCAUCUCCAGGCAGUCUGGGCUGUGUCAGGGCAUGGCCAAGUCUCCAGCUGUGGGGAGGCCCAGUACAGCCCUUGUUCCAGGCGCCCCCCACCCCCAGCGCCACCACCCCCACAUUCUUUCUUUGUUGUGAAAGCAGCAAGGGGUGUAGGAGGCGGGUCAGGAGGAGUCAAGCUUUGGAAGAUGGGCCCCAGCUGCUGCUGGGCCUCCAGGAUAUGCCGAGAGGGUAUGGAUAGUAAAGUGAAAUACACGGACCUGAAGUGAGGCAGCAGAGGGAACAAGAGAGGCCAGGGCAAGGCAGGUUGGCUGGCCAGCCCCAAACCCUCUGACAGAAAAGCCAGCUGCAGGCUGCAUCUCUGAGGUGCAGACCCGCUCCUUACCCACUCUGGGGCCCCUAGUAGUAGAGCUAGCUACUCUAGAGGAUCACAGGGUGGGGAGAGGAUGUCCUGAGGGUCCUUCCUGAGGGGGAUUCCUGAGGAGGGAGCUGAGACCCUAAGGGCAGCAGCAAUCUUCUGGUUAACUGCUCCCCCUUCACUGUCCCACCUUGGGGCUGGAAGAGCCAGGAGCAAUAGGGAAUGCUGUGAGGACUGUGUGGGGGACCCAGCAGACCUGGGGGGGGUGGGAUGAAUGUCAGCUGCUUGAAGAGAGGUCCAUACUGCUGGCACUGAGGCCUCGGGAGACCUGAAAUAGACAAUAGCAUGCCAUCAGCCCAGGGACCUCAGCCUCCCAAAGACUGUCCCCUGGAGUCUUAUCCAUCUCACGGCUGCAGUCUCUCUCUGGACCUAGGAUGGCGCCUGUAACCUCAACCCCAAGCUCUGGGCUUUGUUUAGUCUUUGCUACGAUUUCCCAGAAGGCCACAAUCUGGUGGAGAAAAUACCUGGAAGAACCACAUGAAUAUUGGCAUAUACUUUGAAUGUGUUGAUACAGGUGGUCGUUUCCCAUUAAAAUGUCAUUGCUACUUCUUUAA
Molecule: long non-coding RNA, 1314 nt
Organism: Orcinus orca (killer whale)
Lineage: Eukaryota; Metazoa; Chordata; Mammalia; Artiodactyla; Delphinidae
Exons: 2
Source: RefSeq, a predicted model, not a curated record